GUAGUCCGGAUUGGAGUCUGCAACUCGACUCCAUGAAGUCGGAAUCGCUAGUAAUCGUGGAUCAGAAUGCCACGGUGAAUACGUUCCCGGGCCUUGUACACACCGCCCGUCACACCAUGGGAGUGGGUUGCAAAAGAAGUAGGUAGCUUAACCUUCGGGAGGGCGCUUACCACUUUGUGAUUCAUGACUGGGGUGAAGUCGUAACAAGGUAACCGUAGGGGAACCUGCGGUUGGAUCACCUCCUUACCUKAAAGAAGC
Molecule: ribosomal RNA, 258 nt
Filed under: Salmonella enterica subsp. enterica serovar Infantis
Lineage: Bacteria; Pseudomonadati; Pseudomonadota; Gammaproteobacteria; Enterobacterales; Enterobacteriaceae
Also listed under: 1 other name
Description: partial 16S ribosomal RNA
Rfam family: Bacterial small subunit ribosomal RNA
Source: RNAcentral